Non-coding RNA from Nicotiana tabacum (common tobacco), 3766 nucleotides. NCBI's taxonomy places the organism in Eukaryota, Viridiplantae, Streptophyta, Magnoliopsida, Solanales, Solanaceae. The record is from RefSeq and is a predicted model, not a curated record.
AUGCGUACUACAUUGUCUAAACACAUGUACUGUAAUUUUACUGUGUAAAAGUUCUAUUAUCUCUCACCUACCUUACAUGACUCCUCCAUUUUUCCUCCAAUUUCUUCCCAUCGUACAUUAAUUCAGUCUAGAAAUUUCUAUUGCCUUUGAUUUUUAUUCGAUUUUGUACAAAUUUUUCCAGCAGUGCUUCAAAUGGCUGGAUUCUCUAAGAUCGAUGUCUCGACGUUUAGAAAUCGGAGAGAGGUGCAGUUCCAUGUUGUUUUAGAGAUUGAAAAACGUUCGUCGUUUUACUACUAAUUUCUUAAAAAGUUACCAGAUUUUCUUAUAACUAUUAUAGAAAUUCCUAUGGCUUUGACUCUCCUUUUAACCGAUUCUGCACAUGCACCUAAAGAAGAUGGACAAGAGAGAAAUUGGAGAUGGACGAACAUAUGGGAUUUGGAGGUGGACGAACAGGGGAAAACUUGUGAUUUCAAAUUCUUUUUUGGGGUAAAUUUGCAACUAAAAUUACUUCUAUGUAAUACAUGUAUGUAUAAUUUUUUCUCUCCUUAUCGAUAGAUUCUAGAAUCCACUCCAGAGCUCUACUCCCUCUGCAUGCUGUUUCCUUUGUUGCUCUGCUUCUGGCCAUCGCUAUGGGUCAAUUUUUCAAAAUUCUUUGGGUCGAGUUUGUCUUUCGUAUUUUUAUAUUUUUGAAUUGCGGUAAGUUUUUUUCUUCUUUUAUUCUUUAUUUAUUGCACACUACCUAUUUCCCAUUAUUGGUUGGAACAUAUGCAUUUGUAUACCCCUUUGUAUUUUUUUGUUUUUUUGACUUUCUUCAAUUUAUUAAGAAAAUAGUUUUUUUAAUGCAUGUUGAUUUAUUUUAUUUUUCCAUGUUUCCUGCUUGUGUUACUUUUUGUGUUUCUAUGCAUGUCUUUUACAGUUUAAUUUUCGGAGCUUCUAACAGUCCUUGAACUUUUCUGGGUGGGCAUGAUUAGCUCUUUUUCAGGUCAACAACUUAUAUUAUGUUACUUUUGUAAGGAACAACAAGAAGUAACUCAGCAAAGCAUAUAGAUCCGACACUGAAAGGAAGCGCCGAAAAUAGUAAGGAAACUCACCCCAAGAGAGAUGACAUUUUGAAGCUGUGAUGGAGAAAGGUAAUUCCAGAGAGAGCAGCGAAAGGGAGAGAAUUAGAACAACAAAGAAAUUUCUGAACUUCAAGAGCAAUUAGAAACAACAGUUGGGGUGUAAGAACCGGGGACGAAGAGGGGUACUUUAGUAAUUAUGAGUUUAUUUAGGGAUAAAUUGGUAACUAAGUUAAAGGAAAGCACGCGUACUACAUUGUCUAAACACGUGUACCGCAAUUUUACUGUGUACAAGUUCUAUUCUCUCCCACCUACCUUACAUGACUCCAUUUUUCCUCCAAUUUCUUCCCAUCGUACAUUAAUGCAGUCUAGAAAUUUCUAUUGCCUUUGAUUUUUAUUCGAUUUUGUACAAAUUUUUCCAGCAGUGCUUCAAAUGACUGGAUUCUCUAAGAUCGAUGUCUCGACGUUUAGAAAUCUGAGAGAGGCGCAGUUCCAUGUUGUUUUAGAGAUUGAAAAAUGUUCUAUCAUUUUACUAUUUAUUUCUUAAAAAGUUACCAGAUUUUCUUAUAACCAUUAUAGAAAUUCCUAUGGCUUUAACUCUCCUUUUAACCGAUUCUGCACAUGCACCUAAAGAAGAUAGGCAAGAGAGAAAGUAAGUCUCCAUCUUAAACAAUUAUUUUACUCUUUCUCUUACCCAUCUUAUGCAUUUGUUUUGUUUGCCCCUCCUUUUGGCCUUAGAUUUUGGUUUCAUUUCAAAAUUUCAAUAUUUUGGUUAGGUUUUCCUGGUUAUUCUUUAAUUUUACUUAGUUUAUAUCUGUUAUUUCUUGAUGGGCAUGUAAACAUAUGAUUCUAUUUUUUUCAAUAUUGAUCUAUAAUUGUCAUACUACCUCUGAAAUUCUCCUUGUUACUAAUAUUUAGAAACGACAGUUGGAGGUGGACGAACAUAUGGGAUUUGGAGGUGGACGAACAUAUGGGAUUUGCAGGUGGACGAACAGGGGAAAACUUGUGAUUUCAAAUUCUUUUUUGGGUUUAAUUUUCGGAGGUUCCAACAGUUCUUGAACUUUUCUGGGUGGGCAUGAUUAGCUCUUUUUCAGGUCAACAACUUAUAUUAUGUUACUUUUGGUAAGUUUAGCUGUGAGUUAUGCAAUUCAAUUUUUGUAAUAACCUAAACUAUCAAAAUUAUUGUUGGGAGAUUGGAUCUAUUCAUUUGCUCUAUAUUUGACUUUUAAAUUGUUCUUCUCCGACUUCACUACUUUCAUAUAAAUUUCUUUCUUGACGAUAUCAGUAUAUAUGAAAACUUUUACUUUCAUAAUGUUUUUUAUCUGUACAUAUUGUGUUUUAUGAUCAGUGAUAGCUUCCAUCAAUAUGACUUCUUGCUUUCCUUUUACUUUAUUUUUCCAGUUAUUUGAUCUUUUCAUUGUUUACUUAACAUGAUGGAUUUAAACUACAACCUAUACAGGAAUCAAGGAACUUCUAUAAUUUACCUUUUUCAACCUAUACAGCAAAGAGUUAUGCCAUAAAACACCAUCUCACAUCAUCUUAGCAGAAAACUUUCAUACUUUUCACAGUAAGGAACAACAAGAAGUAACUAAGCAAAGCACAUAGAUCUGACACUGAAAGGAAGCGCCGAAGAAAGUAAGGAAACUCAUCCCAAGAGAGAUGAUAUUUUGAAGCUGUGAUGGAGAAAGGUAAUUCUAGAGAGAGCAGCGAAAGGGAGAGAAUUAGAACAACGAAGGAAUUUCUGAACUUCAAGACCAAUUAGAAACAACAGUUGGGGUGUACGAACCUGGGAUGAAUAGGGGUACUUUAGUAAUUAUUAGUUUAUUUUAGGGAUAAAUUGGUAAAAGUCAAAGGAAAGCACGCGUACUACAUUGUCUAAACACGUGUACUGCAAUUUUACUAUGUAAAAGUUCUAUUCUCUCCCACCAACCUUACAUGACUCCUCCAUUUUUCCUCCAAUUUUUUCCCAUCGUACAUUAAUGCACUCUAGAAAUUUCUAUUGCCUUUGAUUUUUAUUCAAUUUUGUACAAAUAUUUCCAGCAGUGCUUCAAAUGGCUAGAUUCUCUAAGAUCGAUGUCUCGACGUUUAGAAAUCUGAGAGAGGCGCAGUUCCAUGUUGUUUUAGAGAUUGAAAAAUGUUCGUCGCUUUGCUACUAAUUUCUUAAAAAGUUACCAGAUUUUCUUAUAACUAUUAUAGAAAUUCCUAUGGCUUUGACUCUCCUUUUAACCGAUUCUGCACAUGCACUUAAAGAAGAUGGCCAAGAGAGAAAUUGGAGGUGGACGAACAUAUGGGAUUUGGAGGUGGACGAACAGGGGAAAACUUGUGAUUUCAAAUUCUUUUUUGGGUUGAAUUUGCAACUAAAAUUACUUCUUUGCAAUACAUGUGUAUACAUUUUUCUCUCCUUAUCGAUAGAUUGUAGAAUCCACUCCAGAGCACUACUCUCUCUGCAUUUUGUUUCCUUUGCUGCUCUGCUUCUGGCCAUCGCUAUGGGUCAUCUUUUUCAGAAUUCUCUGGGUCGAGUUUGUCUUUUGUGUUUUUGUAUUUUUGUAUUCUUUAUUUUUGAAUUGCGCGCUACCUAUUUCCCAUUAUUGGUUGGAAUAUAUGCAUUUGUAUACCUCUUUGUGUUUUUUUUGUUUUUUUUGACUUUCUUCGAUUUAUUAAGAAAAUAGUUUUUUUAAUGCAUGUUGAUUUAUUUUAUUUUUCCAUGU